Molecule: non-coding RNA, 73 nt
Organism: Cheilinus undulatus (humphead wrasse)
Lineage: Eukaryota; Metazoa; Chordata; Actinopteri; Labriformes; Labridae
Source: the annotation of a RefSeq genome assembly
GCUUGGAUAGCUCAGUCGGUAAAGCAUCAGACUUCUAAUCUGAUGGUCCAUGGUUCAAGUCCCUGCUCAUGUG